Molecule: ribosomal RNA, 320 nt
Filed under: uncultured bacterium
Lineage: Bacteria
Description: bacterial SSU rRNA
Rfam family: Bacterial small subunit ribosomal RNA
Source: RNAcentral
AGUGAACGCUGGCGGCGUGCUUAACACAUGCAAGUCGAACGAGAACGGAUUAUAGCUUGCUAUAAUUGUCAGCUAAGUGGCGCACGGGUGAGUAAUGUAUAGGUAAUAUGCCUCUUACUAAGGGAUAACAAAUGGAAACGUUUGCUAAUACCUUAUACUCCUUAUUAACAGAAGUUAAUAAGGAAGAUUAUUGUAAGAGAUUAGCCUGUAUUGUAUCAGUUAGUUGGUGGGGUAAUGGCUUACCAAGACUAUAGACACAUAACUAGGUUUGUAGAGGAUGAUCAGUCACACUGGAACUGAGACACGGUCCAGACUCCUAC